UACGUAGGCAGCAAGCGUUGUUCGGAAUUACUGGGCGUAAAGCGUGCGCAGGCGGUUUUGUAAGCCAGGUGUGAAAUCCCCGGGCUCAACCUGGGAAUGGCAUUUGGGACUGCAAGGCUGGAGUGUGGCAGAGGAGACUGGAAUUCCUGGUGUAGCAGUGAAAUGCGUAGAUAUCAGGAGGAAUACCGAUGGCGAAGGCAGGUCCCUGGGCUGACACUGACGCUCAUGCACGAAAGCGUGGGGAGCAAACGGG
RNAcentral lists this ribosomal RNA (253 nucleotides) under uncultured bacterium. Its description in RNAcentral is "partial 16S ribosomal RNA". It matches the Rfam family "Bacterial small subunit ribosomal RNA", at positions 524 to 776 of the family's 1533-position model. The record is from RNAcentral.